UACGAAGGGGGCUAGCGUUGCUCGGAAUCACUGGGCGUAAAGGGUGCGUAGGCGGGUCUUUAAGUCAGGGGUGAAAUCCUGGAGCUCAACUCCAGAACUGCCUUUGAUACUGAAGAUCUUGAGUUCGGGAGAGGUGAGUGGAACUGCGAGUGUAGAGGUGAAAUUCGUAGAUAUUCGCAAGAACACCAGUGGCGAAGGCGGCUCACUGGCCCGAUACUGACGCUGAGGCACGAAAGCGUGGGGAGCAAACAGGAGGAGAAACCCUAGGAGUCC
RNAcentral lists this ribosomal RNA (273 nucleotides) under uncultured bacterium. RNAcentral's name for it is "partial 16S ribosomal RNA". It matches the Rfam family "Bacterial small subunit ribosomal RNA", at positions 524 to 796 of the family's 1533-position model. The record is from RNAcentral.